AAAAGUUGGUAACCAAACUGUAUAGUAAAAUCAGUUUGCCAGUCGAGAGUUCGGAAACUUGAACAGGUUAAACGUAAACAUUUGGGAUAAUUUAAGCGAUGUUUCCGCGGGAUCGUUGUUUAAUCAAAGAAAAAGAAAAACGCUAUUCUGUUGCUAUGUGACAAGUUACGCUGUUGUCCGCCAAUUACCAAGCGUAUAAUGCUCCAAUGCGUCUGGUUUUGCCAGCUAUUACUCCUACCUCCACAGGCCUUUUGGGUAAAGUAAAAAAAAGUAAAAAGUAUAUUAGUUAAACAAAAAGAGGA
Molecule: non-coding RNA, 302 nt
Organism: Paramuricea clavata
Lineage: Eukaryota; Metazoa; Cnidaria; Anthozoa; Malacalcyonacea; Plexauridae
Source: the annotation of a GenBank genome assembly